Molecule: ribosomal RNA, 322 nt
Filed under: uncultured eukaryote
Lineage: Eukaryota
Description: partial 18S ribosomal RNA
Rfam family: Eukaryotic small subunit ribosomal RNA
Source: RNAcentral
CCCUUAGAUGUUCUGGGCCGCACGCGUGCUACACUGAGUGGAUCAGCGGGUCAGGUUGCGCGAAAGUGUUUCCUAAUCUUGAAAUCCGCUCGUGAUGGGGAUUGACGGUUGCAAUUUUCCGUCAUGAACGAGGAAUACCUUGUAAGCGCGGGUCAUCAUCCCGCGCUGAAUACGUCCCUGCCCUUUGUACACACCGCCCGUCGCUCCUACCGAUUGAGUGGUCCGGUGAGGCUUUGGGAUCUGAGCAAAGAGAGCGUUUCGCUCGUUUUGCCCGGAAAACUCAGUCGAACCUUAUCAUUUAGAGGAAGGUGAAGUCGUAACA